AAAGAUAGAGGCGCGGAAUUUAUCAGUACCGGCGCGGAGGCUGCGGAGCCUUUGAAACGCCGCGAAAGGGAAUUUCGCCGAAAUGCGCAUCACGUCCGCGCGGGUGCGUGUUGGGUAUAUUGCAAACAGCAAUAUAACUGUCACUAUAACAAAUAGUGGAGGGCUAUCGC
Molecule: non-coding RNA, 170 nt
Filed under: Candidatus Ornithomonoglobus intestinigallinarum
Lineage: Bacteria; Bacillati; Bacillota; Clostridia
Description: Lysine riboswitch
Rfam family: Lysine riboswitch aptamer
About the family: Riboswitches are metabolite binding domains within certain messenger RNAs that serve as precision sensors for their corresponding targets. Allosteric rearrangement of mRNA structure is mediated by ligand binding, and this results in modulation of gene expression. This family includes riboswitches that sense lysine in a number of genes involved in lysine metabolism, including lysC.
Source: RNAcentral